This is a long non-coding RNA of Gopherus flavomarginatus (Mexican gopher tortoise), 3627 nucleotides long. RefSeq lists it as uncharacterized. The transcript is spliced from 3 exons. Lineage: Eukaryota; Metazoa; Chordata; Testudines; Testudinidae. The record is from RefSeq and is a predicted model, not a curated record.
UUAUGCCCAAAUAAUUUGUUAGUCUUUGAGGUGACGCAAGGACUCGUCCUUGUUUUUGCUGAUACAGACUAACAGGACUACCACUCUGAAACCUGUCAGUAUAUACCUUGGGGUUGGCAAAUGCCUGUUAAAUGGCUUUAUUACCCCUUGAAUGUCUCUUUAACAGUUUCAGUGUUGUGCUAAUAGGUCUGGCAGGCUGGAGGUUUUUUCACUUUUAACUACUAGAUUCCCUCCCAAGGAAGACUCACCAGGCUAGAGCAGCCAUCUGUGGGAGCCUGCAGGAAGGGUCAGACCAGGGAUAGGAAAACAAGCGGUGGACACUAAGACCCAGUGGUGCCCCAAAUUUUCAGGUGCCCUACGCAGCUGCCUGUGUUGCCUAUGCCUAAGGACGGCCCUGCUGCUGAAUGCCUGUUUGAAAGCGUUGGGCCAACAGAGGCUGCUGUGGAAAUGCUCAGUGUCCUUGGCACCAUUGAAAAAUCCACGUCAGCUGGUGCUGCGGGAUGUAAGGGAAACGGAACUGACAGCUGGCGAGAAGGGGGUGCUCUCCAGACAGCUACAGCAAGAAUCUCCAUGGCUCCAGUUGUCUGAGUUUCCAAGGCAGGUCCGAAACAUGUUUGAGGACCUCCCCUUCGAUGGUCCCCAACUGUUUGCUGCAUCCAUGGUUGAAUCUUUGCGAACCUUAAAGAAUUCCAAACAAGCAAAAGUUUAGCAGAUCUCAGACAGCGAAGAGGUCUCCGCGCCUCUGGUUUCAGGUUUCCAGCGACCCUCUGAAGUACCAGAAAGAAAUCAAGGCUCAGAGGAAGAGAGCAUCCACUUCUGCUACUCAGCUUUGGAAGUCUUCUAUAUGACAGUUUUUUGACAGGCUUGACAACUCAUAACUACCCCACAUCGUAACAAAGCUGCAUCUACAUCAUCCUACUCUCUUCCAUCCCUGCAGAGACUUCCACUCCCAUUUUCAAUACCCAUGGAGCAGAUUACAUCAGAUAAACGGGUGUUGGAAGUUAUAAGAUGAGGGUACUCCACCCAUUUUACAUCCCUCCACUCCCCACCUCCUUUCCUGUCAAUCUUCAGGGACCACAAACAUCUGCUGAAACAAGAGAUCAACUUCCUUGUGUGUACAGGGUCAUAGGAUCAGUUCCAGACCAACUCAGAGGGAAUGGAUUUUACUCCAACGUUUUCCUGCCCUAAAAAAGAAUUGUGUGUGUGUGUGAACCAAUUUCAGAUAUAAGACUUGUAGGCUACUUUGUGAAAUCACGAAAAAGAAAAAUCAGGAUGGUGACUCUCACAGCCACAAUUCUAAUAUUGGAACCAGGGGAUUGGUUUUCAGCCACCACCCUUCAGGACACCUAUUUUUAUGACACAAUUCACUCAUCCCACAAGAGCUUUCUUUGAUUUUCAUUAUGCCUGGAUCACUUUCAGUACUGGUAUAUCCUUUCUUCCUUUCCUCUGUCCAGAUGGUAUUCUCAAAAGUACCAGCAGUGGUGGCAGCAUAUCUUCCUCAUGGAGUAAUAACUGUAUUUCGAAAUCUCAAGUGGCUUCUGAAGGGUUGAUCUUUACAUGAAGUUCUCUAUGCAACAAAGACACUAAUGUCCCUCUUCCUCAGUUUGGAUCUACAACUCAACUUCAGAAAAUCCACUCUGAGCCCUGUGCAAAGGAUAAAGGUCACAGGAACUUCUAAAGAAACAGUAUCAGCCCAGAGCUUACCUUCCUAUAGACAGAUUCACAACAUUAACAAACCACACCUCAGUGAUGAAGAUCAGCCUACAAAUAUCAACAACAAAUUGCUUUUUACUACUCAGACACCUCCUGGUGCGGGGCAAGAGGAGAGGUAGGGUGCCUGAGCAGGUUGAAUGGGCACUACCGCUGAAAAUCUCCUAUCAAAGGCGUGUGAAGUGUAACCGGAUGAGAAGUGGUGCGCCCGUCGGGACACACAUCUCAAAGAACCCGAAUAACAGCAUGGGGGUGAGGAACAUCUCUGUCAUGAUCCUAAGGGAAGGAAGGAGGGAGAGCAGUAGCAUAAAGACAAUAGGCUUAAAAAAGCCAACUUCAGCCAAUUCAGGGAAUCUUUUGCCUACAUCCUUUGCCCUCAGAUGUUUCGGAGGGAUCUUCCCACCAUAGAGGGGCAAGGGGGGAACUGCCAACAUCCUACAGCCACACCUAGAGCAAUUUAUUUAAAGGGGAUGCAAAGCUGUUGCUUUUUGUUGGUGGGUAUCAGUGCCUGAGGCCUGGGUGUGCGAGGGUUAACGGGCCCUGACCAGCUCCCAGCUGAGAGCCCCUUGCUGGAGAUGCACAAAAGGCUCCUUAAAGGCACAAAUCCCAACAUGUCCCGUGUGCUCCCCAGCCCCAGUCACGCGAGGCUCUCAGAGCAGCUUGAGGCCCUGCUGGCUGGGCACAUUCGCCCCAGUGAGGCAGGCUGGCAGCGGGUGUAGCUGACCAUGGCCUGCUGCAUUUCCUGGCCUGGCUCUUUCUGUUUCCUCACAGUCACUUUAAGUUUCAUUUCUCUGAGUUUCAUCUUCCUGAUCCACUGCAAGAAGAGCUGGCAGGCACCCAGGGAGGGGAGGAGGAGCAGCAGGAGAGACGUCACUCUCUCUCUGCCUGAGAAUGCCCUUCCCCUGCCGCCUUCCACUGUGCUGGGGUUGAUUGUGGGUCCAGGCAACUCUGCAGGGAGUGUAGGGUGGGGGCUGCAGCUUCCCAUCUCAUGCCCUGGUCUCCGCGCUUGUUCCCUGCAGGGUUGAGUCACUGAGGUGCUUACCAGCUAGAAGGGAGCUGUGUUCCCACAGGCUGGUUAGCCAUCCUGCCCCCAUUCCUGUUAUUAACUACCAUUCAUUACCUUAUGGGAGGCAGCGCCUAGAGACCCUCUCCAGGUCGGGACCGCAUGGUGCUCAGUUCUGCACAGACCCAGGAAGUGACAGUGUCAGCCCCCAAGAGCCCACUGUCCAAGCAGACCAGAUGUAACAGGGGGAUGAGACAAGCCGUGUGCAGAGAGAAGUGGUCUCUGCUCACACUCAUUGUCUGGGGAAGGAGGGGCACGGCACCAAGGAUGUAUACAUGGGAAUAGCACGAGCGGUUAGGGACGAAAUCAGGAAAGCCAAGGCAAAGAAUGAGUUACAACUGGCAAGAGACAAGAAGAAUGGGCUCCUAAACAUAUCAGACAAAAAAGAAAGAUCAGGGACAGUGCGGGCAGGGACAGCAGAUUUCCAUGCUACCAGCACAACAAGGAGAGUGAUGGAAAUUCUCCGAAGGCAGGCCAAGAAACUGGAGUCUGUGAGGCAGCUGACAGCAGGUUAGAGUGGGUGACGGGGCCUGUACCCCGUAACAACAGAACCAAAUUCACAUGGUGAGUGAGUCCCACAGGAGGGGUGACUAUCCCAUGUGUAACCAGCCAGCUUAGGAUGGGUUCUGCUGUUAAAUCACAUUUACAUAGCCCCUAAUACACUAGUACACCCGAUUCCCCCGGAGAGGGGGAAAUCCACUAACUGCUUUGUCUUCUAAGGCAGCAAAUGCAGCCUGUGUCUGGACAGCUAGGUGCUACGUGGUGAGUUCUGCUAUUUGGUCUCCUCUCACCAGAAAACUGGGGCAGAGUGUGUCCAAUACGACAAGAAGGAGGGAGCCAGACACACUAAGAUG